GCCUGGGUGGCUCAGUCGGUUAAGCAUCCGACUUUGGCUCAGGUCAUGAUCUCGCGGUCCGUGGGUUCGAGCCCCGCGCCGGGCU
RNAcentral lists this transfer RNA (85 nucleotides) under Felis catus (domestic cat). It matches the Rfam family "tRNA". From Rfam's summary of the family: Transfer RNA (tRNA) molecules are approximately 80 nucleotides in length. Their secondary structure includes four short double-helical elements and three loops (D, anti-codon, and T loops). The record is from Rfam by way of RNAcentral. Lineage: Eukaryota; Metazoa; Chordata; Mammalia; Carnivora; Felidae.